UUUUACGGGCAGCAUGCUUGUAACACUGCUUCUUUUUCAAGGAAUUGAUUGGCACCUUGUCCUCCUCAUCAUCUGAUUUGGUGAGAUUAAUCAGCUUAUUAAUAUCAUUAUCUUGCUCUGAUAUUGGCAUAGUCGAUGGAAGUGGGAUAGGUGUAGUAGCAGGUUCAGUUGGUGCAGAAACUGGGUUUGUUUCUUCUUUUUCCUGGUCAGACUCAAUGUUUA
Molecule: long non-coding RNA, 222 nt
Filed under: Gossypium raimondii (Peruvian cotton)
Lineage: Eukaryota; Viridiplantae; Streptophyta; Magnoliopsida; Malvales; Malvaceae
Description: long non-coding RNA (GRAI_LNC007682)
Source: RNAcentral